AUCCAAUGUAAAUGACACUCAGACAUUUCCUUCAACAUUCCGAGUUCCUGUCAACGAUAUGUUAAUUGGAACAGGCGUUUUCUGUGGACUCUGCAUCAUGUCUGUAAUCGGAAGAUGUGUUUUUCUUAAACGACGAAAGGUCAACGAAAUCCACACAAUAGAAAUACACCUCGUCGGACAAAGGAGUGCUACACAUAACAACGGAAGGAGUCCAGUACGCAGUCGUGCAGAGGCAGGCGUCCACACAGAGGAUUGAACCGCAGCAAUCACAUAAUGACGACAGCCUAACGUACGCCGAGUUGGACAUGAAGUUCCUACAGGUAGCUAACACCAGAGUACCGUCAAGGAGAAAGAAUAGGCCGACGGAGUAUGCUGACAUUGAGUUCUUCUUAACACAGGAACCUGCUGUAGAAGAUCCUGUGUACCACAAUGCAUCAGCGUCAGACCAAGACAUCUAACCCGAAAUACUGCCUUUAACAUACAGUUGAACCCCGUUGGCUCGAAUUCCUCCUUGGCUGAAACUGAAUGUAAAGGACCGAUUUCUUUAUAUUGAAGAUAAACAUUCCCGCUUGGCUCGAAAUUUCCGAGGCUCGAGAUUUUCUCGCCGGUCCCUGUGAGUUCGAGCUAACGAGGUUCGAUUGUAGUAGUGUUUAUAGUUUGUACGUCUUCUUUUAUACUGUAUAUUGAAACAUUGAAACUGGGAGUAGUUUUCUCAUUAUUGGUCCUAGAUUGAAAUGAGUAUUGUUGAAACAAAGACCUUAUAAUCAAAAACAAGAUUAAAAUAUUUAAAUUUAUUAUAUACCCAUCAUAAAUCCACACGCAAUACAUAUCGCAAAAUACGGUAGUCCGUAUUCCACUCCAGUGCAAUACAGCCUACUCCACUCUUGUGACGCCACGUCAUAACAAGUAUCGUUAUGCGAUGUUUAAAUGACGUCAUAAAACAAAAAGUGCGUCAUUAAAAUGAAAUUUAUUAUGAAACAUGUGGCUUUUAAGUGAUCUUACCAGUAAUGUAUAUAAUAAAAGGGUUAUUAGUACUGCGUUUUGAUCCGGAAUUCGUAUUCGACUCUCGUGGAAUUUUGCAGAUUUUGAUUUCAGUCGGCUUGCGCAAAAAUCCACUCGAGUUGAAUACAACCUCCCAGAUCAAAACGCAGUACUAAUAACCCUUUUGUAUCAUUAGGUUGGGAUAGAGACUGUCCAACAAACAAUGUAUU
Molecule: long non-coding RNA, 1211 nt
Organism: Mya arenaria
Lineage: Eukaryota; Metazoa; Mollusca; Bivalvia; Myida; Myidae
Exons: 4
Source: RefSeq, a predicted model, not a curated record